Long non-coding RNA from Meriones unguiculatus (Mongolian gerbil), 679 nucleotides. RefSeq lists it as uncharacterized. The record is from RefSeq and is a predicted model, not a curated record. The transcript has 7 exons. Lineage: Eukaryota; Metazoa; Chordata; Mammalia; Rodentia; Muridae.
UAGGAAAAACAAACAAACAAACAAACAAACAAAAACAGGAAACAAAGUCACCAUGGGAUAGGAAAAGAACCAGGUGGGCUAAGAGAAGGCGCUCUGAGGAUCAGCAUGAAGAGAAGCAGCCCGAAUGGAAAGCAUGUGCAGAUCACAAGUCACAUUCACCUUCAAUCUGUGUGGUACCCAGUGCUCAUUAUCUGCUUCUAGAUCUCACCUAUUGCUCCAGUGCCGUGCCUGCCUUCCUGCUGCGGUACCUCCCUCCAUGAGGGUCAUGGACCCACCCUCUGAAACCGAAAUGUGGACACUGGCAUGGAUCUUUGGAGUUACUGAGGUGUAAGAAAUUCUGACAAAAUAAAUCGGGGGAGUCAAGGGAACUACAUCCACAGCCUCUCUGCUAGCUGGCUUCGAACGAAUGACUCAACCCAGCUCAGGCCUCUUGGAUCCUGACACUUAGUGCAUGUUCUCGGCGUAUCUAACACACGUGGCGUCCCCACUUUGAGGAGUGUUCUACACCUCCGUUUUGAAUCAAGCCUCCUGGUCUUCCUGCUUCAGCAUCUCAAAUUCUGGGAAUGCAUUGUGUACUACCACACCUACCUCGUUACUUUACAGAAAUUCCACAUCAGCAGACUGGUGACAGAUGUCUCCUCAUCCUCAUCCUGAAGAAGGAAGUUGGCAUGUGGUGAGA